RNAcentral lists this ribosomal RNA (510 nucleotides) under uncultured Glomus. Its description in RNAcentral is "SSU rRNA". It matches the Rfam family "Eukaryotic small subunit ribosomal RNA", at positions 569 to 1081 of the family's 1831-position model. Lineage: Eukaryota; Fungi; Glomeromycota; Glomeromycetes; Glomerales; Glomeraceae. The record is from RNAcentral.
AGCAGCCGCGGUAAUUCCAGCUCCAAUAGCGUAUAUUAAAGUUGUUGCAGUUAAAAAGCUCGUAGUUGAAUUUCGGGAUCAAUAUGUUGGUCGUGCCUCGGUACGUACUAGCAUAUUGGUUUCUCCCUUCUGACGAACCAUGAUGUCAUUAAUUUGGUGUCUUGGGGAAUCAGGACUGUUACUUUGAAAAAAUUAGAGUGUUUAAAGCAGGCUCACGCUUGAAUACAUUAGCAUGGAAUAAUGAAAUAGGACGUUUGAUUCUAUUUUGUUGGUUUCUAGGAUCGACGUAAUGAUUAAUAGGGAUAGUUGGGGGGCAUUAGUAUUCAAUUGUCAGAGGUGAAAUUCUUGGAUUUAUUGAAGACUAACUACUGCGAAAGCAUUUGCCAAGGAUGUUUUCAUUAAUCAAGAACGAAAGUUAGGGGAUCGAAGACGAUCAGAUACCGUCGUAGUCUUAACCAUAAACUAUGCCGACUAGGGAUCGGAUGAUGUUAAUUUUUUAAUGACUCAUUC